CUAUUAUCCAAAAUAACGAGGAUGAACGCAAGCGACCGUCCGUCGGGGACCACUGAUCAGCUGUGCACUAAGCUCUCGUACCGCUGACGCCAUCUUGGUUACGACGAGACUCAACCAAAUCACAGUGAAAAAGGCGCAGUUGAAAUUCGUCGAACCUGAUGACACCGCUGCUAUGAAUUUUCCGAGUCACGCGUAGAUCCCAUGAAAAUGUUAGUUACUGAAAACCGAGUUAAUCGUUUUUUCCAGUCAAUUUUGUAAUACUGUGUUCGUAAAAAAAUGGCAUAAAAAUGGAAAUUUAAGGCGGUAAGUUGGAAAAAACAGCACGAUAGAAGCGAAAUAUUCAUAUUUUCAAAUGCAAACCACGAUAUAACGACGCAACGAGAAUUUCUGCGACAAGCAGAAUAAAAUAUACGCGCCGGGAAUACGAUAGGGAUUAUAAUUUAUUGUAAACACUGGUAUAUUUGAUUUCUCUUUUUUACGAGUAUAAACCAAAAUGUAUCAAUAAUAAUACAAUAAUAAUAAAUUCAUUAAUCAAUAAUAUUAAUAAUACAGGAAUAGCGGUAGAUCCUCUAAUUUUUUGUUUUUUGUUUUCUUCAAUCGUAGUAAAUAUAUAAACAAAUAUAAAUACGUACGAAUUAAUAUGAAAUUUAUAAAGGUUUGCAACACUUUGCUUAUAUUGCGCAGGCCGUCGAUUAAGUGUGAAGCAUAUUUUGCUGAAAAUGAGACCCUCACAUCCGACAAAAGAAAUGUUUGAUAAGCAAGUGGUUAGACGGUGAGGCGGAUGUUGGUCUUCGAAUUUGGCACAAAAAUAUGGGAAUCUGAUGGCCGAACAUCCGUCUCAUCGAGGCCACGUUAUGGUUUCGCUAGUUCUAUCCAAUUUUUGAUCCGCUUUCGUUUCGAAUUCUGCUUAAAUUUCUUGUCAAUUCUUAUCGUACAAACUUAACGAUGAAACAACGAUGAGUUUACGUAGCAUCAAGUACAAGGACGAAUUAAUUGGAGACGUAAAAAGCAAAUUGUCUCGAAAAUCGUUUAAAAAAUGGCGCACGUGAACCGAGGCAUUAAGAGGGUUCGCGACGAUUCGAAGACGACGAAUUUCCCCUGAUGACGGGACGACGGUCGACAAGGUCGUUGUAUAAACAAUCGUGUCUGUGAGGUUUGAGAAAAGAAGAAAAUGAGAAUAAACAAGCCUUUCAUUCGUGAUUGAAAAGUGAGAAGAAAGUGAGAACGCGAGAGAGAGAGAAAAACCAACUAGAACGUCUCGCGAACUCGGGCACAUUUGAAAAGCGUCGUAGAAAAUUUAUUUACUGCCUUCGUUACGUCAGCACGUUUCGUUUUGUUUUUGAAUUUUUUUUUAUUUUUUUCAAGCGUAACACUCGAAUGUAAAU
Molecule: long non-coding RNA, 1385 nt
Organism: Venturia canescens
Lineage: Eukaryota; Metazoa; Arthropoda; Insecta; Hymenoptera; Ichneumonidae
Exons: 2
Source: RefSeq, a predicted model, not a curated record